This 301-nucleotide ribosomal RNA is filed under the name uncultured bacterium. RNAcentral describes it as "partial 16S ribosomal RNA". It matches the Rfam family "Bacterial small subunit ribosomal RNA", at positions 509 to 807 of the family's 1533-position model. The record is from RNAcentral.
CAGUCGCCGCGGGAACACGUAGGGUGCGAGCGUUAAUCGGAAUUACUGGGCGUAAAGCGUGCGCAAGCGGUUGUGUAAGACAGGUGUGAAAUCCCCGGGCUUAACCUGGGAACUGCGCUUGUGACUGCACAGCUAGAGUAUGGCAGAGGGGGGUGGAAUUCCACGUGUAGCAGUGAAAUGCGUAGAGAUGUGGAGGAACACCGAUGGCGAAGGCAGCCCCCUGGGCCAAUACUGACGCUCAUGCACGAAAGCGUGGGGAGCAAACAGGAUUAGAUACCCCCGUAGUCCCUGUCUCUUAUAC